GAUGAACGCUAGCGGCAGGCCUAAUACAUGCAAGUCGAACGGUAAGGCUCCUUCGGGAGUACACGAGUGGCGCACGGGUGCGUUACGCGUAUGCAACCUACCUUUCAGGCGGGGGAUAUCCGUGGGGAAACUCAGAGCAAUACCCCAUAUGCACACACUGUAGCAUUACAGAGUGUGGAAAACUCCGGUGCUGAGAGAUGGGCAUGCGUGACAUUAGCUAGUUGGUGGGGUAACGGCUCACCAAGGCUACGAUGUCUAGCUGGUCUGAGAGGAUGAUCAGCCACACUGGAACUGAGACACGGUCCAGACUCCUACGGGAGCAGCAGUAGGGAAUAUUGGACAAUGGCGAAAGCCUGAUCAGCCAUGCCGCGUGGAGGAAGACGGCCUCUGGGUUGUAAACUCCUUUAGCAGGGGAUAAACCUGUACUAUAUGUACAGCUGAAGGUACCUGCAGAAUAAGCACCGGCUAACC
This 471-nucleotide ribosomal RNA is filed under the name uncultured bacterium. RNAcentral's name for it is "bacterial SSU rRNA". It matches the Rfam family "Bacterial small subunit ribosomal RNA", at positions 28 to 502 of the family's 1533-position model. The record is from RNAcentral.